GGAGCUCCGCGAGGCGUCAGG
This 21-nucleotide microRNA is filed under the name Gadus morhua (Atlantic cod). RNAcentral's name for it is "gmo-miR-11197-3p". The record is from miRBase by way of RNAcentral. Lineage: Eukaryota; Metazoa; Chordata; Actinopteri; Gadiformes; Gadidae.